UAUAUGGAAGAAACCCAGGAAGGUGCUUGG
RNAcentral lists this non-coding RNA (30 nucleotides) under Mus musculus (house mouse). Lineage: Eukaryota; Metazoa; Chordata; Mammalia; Rodentia; Muridae. The record is from RNAcentral.